Molecule: non-coding RNA, 1396 nt
Organism: Salvia hispanica
Lineage: Eukaryota; Viridiplantae; Streptophyta; Magnoliopsida; Lamiales; Lamiaceae
Source: RefSeq, a predicted model, not a curated record
AACAUGGAGCACUUAACAAUUUUACAUUAUUUAAAUGACGAACAUACCCCUUUCUCUAUAAAUAUGCCCAAUCUCCUCUCUUCUCCUAUCCACCUUAUUCUUCUUUCCAUAUUUUCUUUUUUAUUUCAUCAAAACACAUCUCAAUGCUGUUAAUUUUCUCCUCUAAAGGAAGCCUGUUCGAAGAAGAGCUGAUACUUUCAGCGGCGCCGUCGAAACAUCUGUUCCCCUCUCGAGUUAUGCUGUUGGUGGUGAUGCCGAGGCCUUGGUAGACUUGCAUUUUUGUCGGAGUUGAUGAUCUCAUCUUUCAAAUUGGGCUGCUCUUGAUGGCCUGAUUUUAAUGGAGAGAUCGUCAACUCUGACAAAUUGCAAGUCUACUAGAGCAUUGAAACAACAUGUCGCAGUUACAUCUUUUUCUUACUAGAGUGGGGUUAGUAAUGUUUUACCAUCUGUUAUUUCAGUGUGUUUAUAUUGUCUUCUUCACGUCUAAGUAAAUAGAUUAGUUAUAAAAUUGUUGUCGCCUGCUUUAUUUCAAGUGGAGUUUUAUCUAAUUUUUUCAAUUUUUCAAUUUCAAUUAUAUUAGAUUGUCAUCGUGUUUCAAAGUAUAAAUAAUUUAUUUAGAUUAUUGUCGGGGGUAUUUCAAUCAUCUUGUUGAAGAAACAGGUGGUUUGGUCGGUAGGGGCCAGGACAUUUUGACAUGUAGCUUUACCUUUUUGAAAUUGGGUACAUUGUAUAUCAUUAUAACUAUGAUUUACAUAUUUUAAUUAUUUUUACCGUGUUAUGUAAUUCAAGUUAAUCUGCAUUUAGACUAAAUCGGUGAUUUUGGAUUCACACUAAUGAUUUAUAAAUUCCACCAAGUUUGACUGUUUGAGUAAGGUUCAUUUUUUUAAUCAAUGCAUUACGAGUUAAAUAUAAGUAGUGUAGGAAAAUAUGGAACAUGAGGGAAAUUGGAAAAGGCUAGGCUUUUGGUCGUACCUUAAUACCGAGAUCUCUCAUGUGGUCAUUCCUAGCCUAUAAAUAGAUGAGUAUUUUGGAGUAGAAACACACCAACAAUCAUUCUCUCUUCUCACUAAGCGCUCAAGCAUUCUAGUUCGCAUCUUAGGAGCAUUGCAUAGCUCGGUUCUUACCUCCAAUUCAAGUUCGCCGGGGCCUACGAGUUUGAGGUGCUUCAACUCGGUAGGAGGAAAGUCGUUUCAUCUUUGGGGACGUUGCGCCAAUCCGUGAGCAUUAGCCGGGGCAUAUCUCAUCUUGCAGAGAGAGAGAUAUCUCGAUUCGACUUGAAAAAGACUAUAGUUUGCAUCUUGUUCCGUUUAUUGUAUUUACUAUUUACUUUGUUUAAUUUACCUUCUAGCUUUUUGGUUUUUUGCAAUAACAAGAGUUUGCCCGAGUGUAAAGGCUA